Molecule: ribosomal RNA, 253 nt
Filed under: uncultured bacterium
Lineage: Bacteria
Description: partial 16S ribosomal RNA
Rfam family: Bacterial small subunit ribosomal RNA
Source: RNAcentral
UACGGGGGGGGUAAGCGUUGUUCGGAAUUACUGGGCGUAAAGGGCUCGUAGGCGGCCAACUAAGUCGGACGUGAAAUCCCUCAGCUUAACUGGGGAACUGCGUCCGAUACUGGAUGGCUUGGAUUUGGGAGAGGGAUGCGGAAUUCCAGGUGUAGCGGUGAAAUGCGUAGAUAUCAGGAGGAACACCGAUGGCGAAGGCAGGUCUCUGGGCAUUAACUGACGCUGAGGAGCGAAAGCAUGGGGAGCGAACAGG